RNAcentral lists this ribosomal RNA (448 nucleotides) under uncultured prokaryote. RNAcentral describes it as "bacterial SSU rRNA". It matches the Rfam family "Bacterial small subunit ribosomal RNA", at positions 355 to 796 of the family's 1533-position model. The record is from RNAcentral.
UCGGGAAUCUUGCACAAUGGGCGAAAGCCUGAUGCAGCAACGCCGUGUGAGCGAGGAAGGCCUUCGGGUCGUAAAGCUCUGUUGUUGGGGACGAAGGGCGAAGGGUUAAUAGCCCCCAGCCUGACGGUACCCUUCGAGGAAGCCCCGGCUAACUACGUGCCAGCAGCCGCGGUAAUACGUAGGGGGCGAGCGUUGUCCGGAAUUAUUGGGCGUAAAGCGUUCGCAGGUGGUUAUUCAAGUCCGCUGUCAAAGCCCGGGGCUUAACCCUGGAGAGGCAGUAGAAACUGAAAAACUAGAGACCGGUAGGGGUAGAGGGAAUUCCCAGUGUAGCGGUGAAAUGCGUAGAGAUUGGGAAGAACACCAGUGGCGAAAGCGCUCUACUGGGCCGGUACUGACACUCAGGGACGAAAGCGAGGGGAGCGAAAGGGAUUAGAUACCCCUGUAGUCC